UCAUAUACAGAGCUUAAACACUGCUUAAAAGUUAUUACAAACUCAUGAUGGUUUUGCUAAUAACAACAGAAAACUUCAGGCCCUGUUUACUUGUGGAGAAAUUUUCCAGUUUUCCGGAAAACUAGCUCUAAGGAAAACAAAAAAUAGAAAACUUGUUUACUUGCCCUGUUUUCUCUAAGUUAGAAAACAGUUUUCCAAUUUUCUUAAAUUUUCUGUUUUCUGUUUUGAGCUUUAAAGUGGGAAAACACUGAUUUAGAGUUUUCUAUUCGGAAAACAUCGGGUCGCGAGCGAAACGUAAAAAAAUUAAACCGAUCACUUCUUCUUCCUCUUCUCUCUCUCUGCUCUCUCAAUUUCCCCUCUCUUCUAAAGUUGUUUGACAGAUCUAGACUCAUCUCAAUCUUUUAGCAAGGUGAGAUUUCAAUCAAUAUUCUUUAAUCUCUUAUUUUUUUUCUUUAAUAUUAGAUAGAAAGAUUUCUCUAGGGGGUAUUUGGGUUUGAUUAAUCUCUUUGCUUAUGCAUGUUGAUAAUAGCUUGUUGUGUUUUUUUUGUUUUUUUUUUUUCAAUUUGAAUAUAAAUUUUAAUAUUUUGUCUAUAAUUAUGUUUUGUAGAUUUUAUAUGGUAUUUAUUUUUGACAAAUUAUGUAGCUUUGAUGAAAAUUAUGACUCUUAAGGGAUUUUUUUAUAAAAUUUGUGAGUAUGUAUGCUCCAAGAUCUGGCGGUUUUAGACUUUCAAUAGUUUAGCUCAGUUAGAAUUGAAGAAGUAAUUUUUAUGUAGCUUAAGCUAUAAUGCUUUUUUUCCAUUUGAUAUGAAAUUUCUAUUGUUUUCCUUUUGGUAUUGGUUUCUGCUUACCUUUAAGCUAUAAAAGGUCUUGUUGUUUCGACUGCACUUUGAAAUAUGAAUUAUGUAAAAACUACUGAAAGGACAAGAGAAAAUAAAUUUAAUUUGUAAUGUCCAGUUGACUAGGCUAGCACUGGUUAUAAAAAUACCGUGCUCUCACUAAUGUCGAUAUCAUGAACAACACUCUUGUGAGUUCUAAGUUCAUGCUAAUGGUUGCAGCAACCUUGGAUUGCAUGAUAGGAUUUUUGCAAAUUUAAACUAAAUGGAAUAGUAUCAGUUGUCAAGCUUCUAGCUAGCCUUAGAAUAUUUAAAUGGUAUUUCUUGUGUUUGUAGGUUGUGGUUCAUGGGUUAGCGGAAAGUCAUUAUCUGUUGUGUAUUCCACACACACACAAUGUACCAAUGUGUUAACUAUGUACAUGAUCAUUGUAUAGCAGCACUUUGCAUCUACAUGGGAGAUUAUGACAUUUGGGUAUAUUGAGGCUAAUCAAAUUCCUAAAGCUGUCGAGUCUAUAAAAGCAGCAUUUUUGGCAAGACCAGGGUGGGAUGCCACGUCGUGAAACUCUAGCUGUUUACUUUACUUAAAACAGCAAGAAGAUGUUGCAGAGGUAGAGGAGUUCGUGAGAUUACUUGGGGCUGCACGUCAUAUGCCAACAGAUGAUUGUGGUAAGCUGCUUGAUUAUUUUUAUAACAAUGAAGGAGAAGCUAGCAAAGUAAACAAGCUUAAUGCAAAUGGUUUGAAUGAUGGUGUAGAAAUAGCUUAAAUUCAAUGGAAGCUACAUAAUGCUCAACAUAAUGGCGAAUUUUCAUGAAUGUACAGUUUGGAUAUUUUAUAUUUCUCUUUCCAUCCUCCUUCCCUUUGUCGUCUCAGAGGAGCAGAUGUAUGAGUUUCAGUCAUAAAAUUUAGUACGGCUGUUAAAUCCUCUCCUAAACUUGUUUGGCAAUUCAUCAACAAAAUAUAUAUGUACAUUGAGUUUCAUUUAUAUUUUGAUAACAUUCUUACCGCAAUUUUUUCCCAGACUUCAUACCUGCUCAUGGCUGGCCACGAUGAAGUUGGCAGGGCAAGUGAGCAACUACACUUAAUGACAAGGAAGAAACUCACCUCAUAGAGGAACUCAUCCGUGAAUACCCGUCCGUUAAUUUCCUCAAGGUGGGUUAAAGCUUGUUAAUGAAUCAUUUAGAUGAAGGCCAUCUUUGGUACUCUUUCAGACCAGAAUAACACAUGCAAUGUUGAUUGUAACACAUUUUAUAACUGAUCUGAUGGGACAUAUUUAAUAUAUUUUACAGGAGGAUGUUGACGACAACCCAACGCAGAAGAGUCAGAGGAGGUGCACUUACUGCCAAUCUUCGGGUUAUACAAGAAUGGAUCAAGGAUAAAAGACAUUCCAGGAACUAACCUUGUAUGCAGCAUAUGAUAGAAAGUCCUAAUGUCAACAUACAACAAAGAAGAGUCACUUGAUAAGUCAUGUUUCUACUAAUGUGGACCACCACAGAAAUGGCUUCAAGUUUUUGCAUAAAAUUUCCAUAUGUUUUUAUUAUAUUUCAUGAAAUUAAAAUUUUUUAAGCCGAUGCUAGCAAUGUGUUCGAAACUAGGAUUGAUAAAUGUUGUGAUCAUAGUGGUACUGGUGGAUCUUAGUUUUUUUUUUUUUUUUUUUUUUUUUUGUUGGACAAAAGUGCUAUUUAUUUCACAAGGUAAAAGUACUGAUGGAUCUUAGUUGUACUUGGUAAGGUUCGUCCUUGUUUUUGUAACAUGGAAAGAUAAUAAAAAUGAAGUGCACAAGAAGAGCAACAUUGUAUGUGCUAAUAUAAGAAUUAUGAUAUGUUUAAACUUUUUACGGAUCUUAGCCAAAUUCUUUUGUUGUAGCGUUUAGCUCAUUUUUAAUGUUAAAUGUACAUAAUAAGAAAAAAAUCAGUGAAGAAUUCAACUUGAUUUAAUUUCUUUACGGAAGUAUGUUUGUUCAUGUUCGGAUUGCUUAAGAAAUAGGCAACAAAAAAGUGUUCCAGUCAAUUUGAACUUAAUUAAGAAUUUGAGAUCAGUUUUCAGUUUUUCAGUUUUCUUGCAAGUGAACGCGUUUUCUGUAUUCUCUAAAAUUUUCUAAAGAAAAAGAAAACUAGAAAUGGAAAAGAAAAUUGGAAGUGAAAAACUGAAAAUAAUUUUCCACAAGUAAACAGGCCCUUAGACACUUAAAUACGUGUACAUCUUUGCAUCUUAUAUUAAAAACAAUUUUAACUACAUAUUAUUUUAUUUUAUAUUUUUUUAAUUAAAAUAAAUUUUAUUAAUAAAGAUUUAAGAAAUUAUACAAAGUUUGAAGACAAGUACGUUAUAAACUACAUUACAAACUCUUUUUAAAUAGAAAAAUCAAUCUUACAAAAUAUAUAUUCAUUGGAACCUACUGUCAUCACAUUGUUAUUCAUCACUUUUUAUACUUUUCUAAAAUAUUCAACUAUUUGUAAUGCUAAAAAUUCAAAAGUGUCAAAACAAAAGAAAUAAAACAAUACUGGUUUCGUUACACAUACUCUCUCGUGUUUAUGUAUCUUAACUACAACUGCGUGAAUGAUUGCUUAACCCACUUAAAUAAUUUUUAAUAUUAUUAUUUUUUUUUUAUUGCUUUUAGUUGUAUCAUCAGUCAUCACUAGUACACUAAUUAUAGAAUCUGAUAGAUUACGACUUGAUUCUUCUACAGUACCGAAAGUACCGUUGCAACCUGACUACCUGUACCUGACUCUCUUUCUCAUGCGUCUUUACCUUUCUGAGUAAGAAAACGUUCUCGGGGAGCACAAUAGCGAAUCUCUGACUGACUCUCUUCAGAAACAGACUAGAAAGCUGGUAAAUAUCUGAUGAUCUGACAGGAAUAAUAACAGCAGCAGCAGAAACAUUGAAAAGCGUGUUUCAUUCCAAUUUCCAAAGCACCUGAAUGACAUCACCUUGAUGUCACACAUUGUGGUUGUUGAUUCCAAUGUUGCAUGUGGUUGUGGUUGUGGUGUAGAUUCAUUUCAUGACACCUCUUCAAUCCUUCACCACCACCACCACCACCACCACUCGCCGCCGGAAUCUUCCAUUCAACACCACCACAGAUUUCUUUCUCUUCUUCUUUUACAAUUCUUCUUGAUUAAUGAAUGCAACUCGAAUGCUGUGACGAGAAACAUGAAAAACUUCCCGGUCGACUAAUAGUAACUUGAGUAAGAACUAAUCUACCAUUUUCUCUAACUUGUUUAAGAAAAGAAGUAGAAUUCUGACCAUCAUUCCUUCUUAAAGAAGAUAAAGAGGUGGAAACAUUUGAUUAACUCCAUCUUUAGUCUUUCUACAAUCAAUUGAUGUUGAUGUUGUAUUAUUGUUUGCAUUCAUUCUCAAUUUCAAAGAUCUUGAUGAAGACUCAUGAAUCAUUUCUUCCAUUUGUUCUGAACUUUCAAAUCCUAAACUCUCUGUACAUGAACUCAAUCCAUAGUUAAUUGAUCCACCAUUAUUACCAGUACCAGUAGUAAUUUCAUCUAAUGAUCCUGAUCCACCAGAUCCACUGCACCUGGAAUCUUGUUUCGUUGCAGAAGUGAUGGUGGUAGAAAUUGAAGAUGGUUUAAGACUAGCAGAUUCUAAGACGUUUGCCGGUGGUUUGUGAGAAGAGUUUUCGGUAAUAGUGAUUAAACCAGCUAUCGAAGGAGGAGAACGAGUAUCAGAGUGGUGUUUAGAAGGAGUUGGAGAGAAGCCAAGAAAAGUGUGGAGAGUAUUUUUACAGAAACUCAUCAUUGUUUUGUGUUAAUUUUUCAGUUAGUUUGAAGAGGGAAAUGGACGUAAAGGGUAAAAGUAUUUAUAGUUGUGAGUUGUGAGAAAGGGGAAAACGAAUGAGGAGAAAGAAUCAAGUGAAGUGAGAGGAUUGAGUUGAAUAAUAUCCUCAAGACGAAGAUAAAUGAGGAUCAAGGAUUAUUGGAAUACUCAUUGCGUGGAAAGUAGCAAUGUCACAAGUUUUAGUGUGUAGAAGUAUUGUGUUGUACAUUAUUAGCUGGAUUGAUAGGACUUAGGAAGUUAGGAUAGUUAUAACUUAUAAAUAAUGCAGAUAAAACCAUACAAAACCUCACAAAUUAACAUUACUCAUGCAAUUAUUUUAAGAAUAACGAGCAUAUGUAGGCACAUGAAGUGAGUGCGUGAGACCAAUAGUUAAAAAUGUCGACAUAUUUUGUGAAAUUUUGACAAAAUAUAUCGGUUUUUAAAGAAUUGGUAUUUUAAAAUUCAAAAAUAAUCAAAAGUAUUUUUAAUAUUUUAGAUGAUUUUUUUGUUUCAGUGUCGAAAUAUCAGAUAUACCGUUUUAUCAAAUUCAAAUUUCAAAAUUUCGCCAGAUUCGGAAUUUUAAAUUAUGAGUGAGACUAUGAGAGGUGGAUUUGGAUUUUAAAUUAUGAGUGAGACUACGAGAGGUGGAUUUGGUGGUAAGAAUAAGAUUGCCCAAUCUAUAUAUUUAGCAAGAAAAGAGUUUUCAGUUAGGAGUGUGGGUGAAAACUGAAAACCCUUUUAGUGAAAGUUGUAUGGCUGAUGGCAUGUGAGGAGACUUUAUAUAAAUUGUGCAACAGAGCAGAGUAGGAGGAUUUCCUUCCCACUCUCACUCGAUACCACUAGUCUACUAAUCACUACGUGUGUCCUUAUCAUGGGCCUACCCCCACGCCCCCACCUGUUGUUAAUUUGUUAUGAAUUGGGGCCGAUUUAGAGUAAAAGGGGAUAUUCCCGCAUGAUCCUAAGAAAGUACACUCAAGUUACCAUUUUGAAUCUUUUGACAAUGCGAAGCGAAACUGCCACUGGAUUUUUACACCAUAAAAGGUAAACUGUUCUCGUGUUGCUGUUAUUUGUGCACAUCAUAUCAAUAUCAUGGGACAAUAAUCAACUUGUCUGUAAUAUCAUAGCCAACUGCCAAAGGUGAAACUACUGUAAUAUGAAUGAAAUCCACGACACGUAUUCUCAACUUGCCAAGCCAAGUCAUGUACUCUCAUGUUCUUCUGGCCUUCUCUGUUACUCUCAUAGUUGAAUAUGUAGUGGCAAUCCCAUAGGCCAUAGUAGACUUUCUUAUCCAAGCCUAUAAAACUAUAUAUCCGUGAAGGAGAAGCAGCAGCAUGAGAAGGCUAUGACUGUCCCACAAGGUAGAAGUUUUAUGAGGUUUGCAGGGCUUCCUAAGGUCUUAUCGACAAUGAUGGAAGUGGGUAUGGUGGUUAAUACCUGGGCUGAUGGUGUUUGGUGUACCUAAUUCCUCGGCCGGGGAGAUUGAAAUUGAAGAAGACUCAGGGUGAGGUCUGAUGGUCCGAUGGAUUUUGCUAUCUGUAUUUGUUCAGACCCAUUUGAGUUGUAACUUUAUAGUAUUGAAUAAAAAAAUUGUUAAUUCUGAGCUCUCAAGAAACACGUCCAACUUUUUUGGGUCUAUGUAAACAGCAAGAUAAGUAAAGGCAAUGACCUUGCUAUAACCCCAUACAAAAAUGGGCACUACAGUUUUUUUUUCUUGCAAAAUACCAAAAGUCAAAAUAAAUUGGAGUUAAAAAAUAAAUUCAAUUUGAAUUGAUUUUCUAAAAUUACUUACAGUACAAAUGUGCAGUUCUCCCACUUAAAAGACACACUCAAGUUUGGGCUGUCUAGAGAGUUAAGGGGAUAUGAAAUGUGCCACCAUUGUAUGAUCAGACACUGAGGGAUUGAAGGUGUGAGCUCAGACAUGUUGUCCACUUGUACUUCCAGCUUUAUUUCACAAUAUCACCUGGGGUUAUAAUUUUUGACAAAGUUCACACUGUGAUCUUCCAAAAUCCAAAACGGCGACUCGCCAUUGCUAAGAAAAAAUUACCGCAAAACUUUCUAUUUGAGUUUUGUUGUUAUUACUCUGAUUUACAAUACUACAACAGAUGAAUUAAUUGCAAAGAUAAUUGCUUACUCAGCUUGGAGAUGCAGCUUCUCCUUUGCUUUUCUGUAGGCAACAUGGCAUAGGGAGAUCCCAAGAUCACUGACCAAAGAGCUUCUUGUACCACCAAAGCUGCAGAGGCUCAAUUGAAUGGUCGGAUCAUAUAUGUAAGCCUUUAAGGCAGAACCUCCUAUAAGAAAUUUCUCUGUAUGUUUCCUCCGGAGAAUCGGGAAGUUAGCCCUUUGACCAUGUUAUCUGCAUCAAGAUUGACAUUCUGUCGUCCCGCAGUCAAAUCCUUCUCACGAUCCCAAGGCUUCCAGGGGUGUUGCCCUGCCCAUUCUUCUUUCUUUUUCUCUUGUUUGGACUUCUUUUUCGGACGUUUAGUUAAGUCUUCUUGGUGCUUCUCCACCAAUGAUUUAGAACGUUUGGUACGAUUGUAUUGAUCCACCAAAUCCGCAUCUGAGUUGGUUCUUUUCUUUUCCUCAUUGGAAGCAAGUGCUGCAGCUUCAUUGUAAGCCUCUAAAUAACUGCAACAGAAAGCAUAUUAAGUAAUUCACAUAGGCCAAUAAAACAAGUACACGAAAAAGAACAAUUUUGACAAAGGUGUAAUACUCACUUCAUUUUUGCUUUCUGAGUUUUGUCUUCUGGAGUGUCUGUCCAAGCACUUGUAUCACCUCGACCUUCUUUAGUGGUCCGACUAAAAGCUGUAGUGGAAUGCAUCGACACACCACCUGCCUGUAAUAACGAAUGAAGAAGAUUAAUUGCCACAAGAAAUAUUGUGGGUCUAAUUAAAAUAUCUAAUGCCCUGAGAAAAUGAAUGAAAACAUAUGCAAGCAGGAUGGCUAUUAUAUAGAACUAAUUGAGAUUCACCGUAUGGUGUAUGUCGUACAUACUUUUCUUUCCGGAGGAAGAGUAGUCAUCCACUCCUCUCUUUUUUGUGGCAAUUUCGUUUCAGCUAAAAGCUCAUCAUCACCUUCCAUAGAAAUACCUGCAAUUUUUAAAAAAAGUCGGAAUAUCAAGAAGAGAAUUUCUAGUGAUACCUGUUCAUCACUUCAUCAAUCACAAUCAUAAAGGCAGGAAAAAAGCUAAAACUCAAACAGACCCGAAAUACAAAAGAUAUGAUGAACGCUGCAUAGAACUAAAGCAUUGGCCAAUAGAAAAAAUAAUGGAUUUGAUUGACAAAACAAGUAGCCAAUAGCCACCAUUAUAGAUAACAAAAUGUCAAAAUGGUGACAUAUCAAUGCAAUGAGCAUAGCUGGCCAAUGUGAUCGGGCUGAUCAGUCAAAUCCAUUUCAAUCACUCAAGACAGAAUCCAUCAGGAACAUCCAUCUUGACCUAUCCAUUUGUUACAAAAACUAACACAGAAAAUUUGUUACCCCAAGGUACGUUUUAUUCAAGGAUUGCGUGGACAUCCUUUUUAGUUUUUACAUGUGUAUGUCCUAUUUUCCACAUAUAAUCUAUAUUGUUUCAAGGAAUUAUUAAAUCUUUGCACUCUCAAAAGUUUAGUUCCAUUAUUGAUCCCUUCUGGCCAGCAAGAAGUUAUAUGUUAUCUUCAUUUAGCAAUCAUCACUCAACCCUUUGCAAACAUCUAUAAUUACAAUCAGAGCAAAAGAAUGUGGACAAAGUGAUGACCUUGGUGCAGCAUAACUGAUAGUAGUAAGAAAGCGUCAAGUGUCGUAUUUUUUGAGCCAGUUUGGUUUUCAUCUAACUGAUGAUACCAUUUUUCACGUGGCAAAGGUGAUUUCUUCUAUAACAUAGAGUUCAAGUUUUUAAACUAGUUCAAUUUUGUCACCUAUUCAUUUUCCUACCCUAUCCUCUAACCUAACCACAACUAGUAAGCCCUCUACAAAGAGAAUAAAUUGAAUCCCACUAAAAUACCGUAUCAAAUGUAGCCAGCAUGCUGUAAAUGUUACAAUAAAAAAAUAUUGAAGGUUGAAACAGAACAAGCUAGUGCACCUUGCAAUCUUCUCCAUUGUGCGGCUUCUCGCAUUUGUUUCAACUCAGCCUAGAGCAUCAAAGAAAAUGUGAGUCAAAUUAACUAAAAACGAAAGAACACAAGUAUACACUCUGGCAGAAAGCAUCCGAUAAUACAGUCACUGCAGACCUCAUUCCCAUCACUUACUUUCUUUCUUAUUUUAUUUCACUUUAUUCUUAUUCCAUUUUGAAUAUAAGUCAAAUCAUAUACAUCACAAAGCACCUUAAAUUUCUCAUUUGCGAGAAAAGACAUUGAAUCAGUCUCACUUUCCCCUGAACUAUUCACUGUUCCACUUUACUAAUGUAAAUAUCCCUUGACAAGUAUUCAGCACAAUAAUAAUAACAAUUUCUCCGAAAAGAAAUUCCGUGAUCAAGUGAAAAAACCCAGAGGAACUAAAGAUACCAAGUUAGUAUAUAAAGAAGAAUAAAGAGGCAUUCUGUGUGAAGACUGAAGAGCAAUAUACCUUGAAUGCCUCUUGCUCCUCCUUGAGUUGAAUUUUAUCAUCCAUUGCUUUUCGCUGAAAAGGUUUACAGGAAAUAAGGAGCACAGCAUAAUUGUUAACAUCUCAUUGGAAUAAAAAAUGAAUCAAGAUGAUAAGAAGUAUCAUACUAAUGACAUGCUUAUAUUCAAAAGAUAAAUUGUUUUUAUUUCCUAUUCUUAUUCCAAAAUGUAGAGAGUUUCAUAUAGAGUUUUAUUUCCUAUUCAUAUUCCAGUAUCAUACUAAAUUACUAAUGACAUGUCUUUUAUAUACAAACUAAGAAUCCUGGAUGGUGAAGAUGGGGCCACUUAUGCUACCACUCUAACAAUAUAAGCUUAAGGUAGAGCUUUUCCAAACUCACACUCCUCUCAUACAGAUAUGUAUUCCCACCUACACAAUACACUCAAAUAUUCAAUAUCACAAGUUCGCCAUUCUGAGCAACUAUAUAUAUAUAUAUAUAUAUUAUCCACAUUCUUCAACAAGUUUCAUGAACUAUUUAUGGAGAGGGAAAAUACAAACAUGGCAAAGAAAGGGUAUACAUAUUUAACUCAGAAAAUGACGAGAUUCAUUGGCCAUGGCUUCAAUGGUUAUCACACUAUUGUGCAGUUCAUCGAUAAAUUUGUAUGAGAACGCUAAAACUGAUAUCAGGUAGAUAACCCUAAUAACACAAUUUUAUCAAUAUUCUCUACAACAAAUUAACAAUCAGCUCACAUACUCCAUAAAAACAGCUCUGACUAGGGCUACACAAAAAGCACAACAAUCUACUAGUUGGACUCGACUUCAGUCUCAAGCAAUUAAAAAUACAAAUAAAAAGUUAAAAAUAAUCACCUUAUCAGGAUCUUGUAAUUCUUUAAAAGCUUUGUUCAAUAUGACAAAUGCUUGAUGGGCCUGCGGAUGAGAGCAUUUAUCUGGAUGCACCAUAAGGGACAGCUUCCAAUACCUGGACAGACAGUAUGAAAAGAGCAUCAAUGAGAAGAUUUAAUAAAAAGUAAUAAUCAGUAUUAUUAAUAGGCUUAGCCGGUUAGAACAUGCAAUAAUCAGUGACACCUAAACAACACUAAUAAAAAAGUAAAAAAAAAAAAAAAUUGUCAUUUCAAUCAUCAUGAUCAAUUGACUUUUACAGGUUUUUUGCAACUUUACCUUUUCUUGAUGUUAUCAGCAGGCAUGUUUCUAUUUACCCCAAGCACAUCAUAUGGACUUCCAAUCUCAGCUUCCAUAAUUUUUGUCACCUAAUUAAAUAAAUAAAAAACAGAAAUUACUAUGAAAGAAACUGCCAGUGUCAAUGCACGCACCAAGAAUAUUGAAAAUUGGAAAAAUGGGUAAAGGAGGUGUUGUUUCCAUACUAUUACUUUGGCAUGCUAUCUCAGUUAGGUACAUUGAUGUUCGUCACUCAGCACAUAAAUAUGAUUUAACAGUUAACAUAACUUUCAUGCUACAAUUGCAAUGCUUUUAGGUGAUCACAAAACAUAUAUUUGCACGUAAUAGCAACAGUUGAUCCUUGCCAUAUUAUCAUGUUAAUAAUGUUUUUGGGUGAGCACAAAAUGUAAUCUGCAUAUCGCAGCAAUAGUGAUCCUUGCUGACAAUACUCACUAUGAGAACUACACUGCUUGUUGACCAAUAAACAUGAGAAAAAGUUGCAUACUUUCUAAAGUUUUGUUGACAGUGCACACAAGACAGAUUUCAAUACCUCUUCAAAACGCUCAGCCUCAUUCGCUGAUGCAGCUUCAGCAGCCACAGCAGGUGGUGGAGGACCAAUAAAUAAGUCAUCAUCCAUCUCAAACUCAGCUUGCCUACAGUUGCAUGACAGGAGAAAAGUUCACCAAAAAACUUAAAAUAAAUCACAAUAAUCACAUCCAAAUUAAAAAUUUCCUAUUAAAAAGAUGCUUUGUGUACACGAAACUAUAGUAAUCCUGUCUUUGGAACAAGUGUGCCUAUGUCCUUAAUCAGUACGAGUUGAGCACAGGGCAAAUAAAAAAUCUCAAAAGUAAGUACCUUAGCUCAGCCUCAGCUUCAGUUAGUUUUGCUGCUGCAGCUAGUAACUCAGACGAGGGCAUUUCAGGACCAAUCACCCUGCAGAAACCAUCAUACAUGUAUUGCAACCUCAAACAACUAACAGGGAUAAUAGAGAACUACAUUAAUAACUGGGUAAAAAAUGUGAUUUACACACCUUCUUCUUGGAGCAGAAUCAUCUUUAACACAAUGACUUCCAUCAUUCUCAUUUAUUGUUUGUUUACGUUCUUCAUUCGAUGGUAUAGACUGUGCAUGGCUUGGUGAAUCAGAAUGAGAAAGUUUUUGUUCUCUAGGCCUUUCAUACAAGGAUAUCAUGGGUCCAAUAACUUCCAAAGUAGGACGAACUUCUGGGGGCAAUAAAUAUAUUCCAACGUCGCUUUCUUUAAGGUUCAAUGACAGGAAGAGCUUUCUCAGUUGUUUAACAAAAGAUCUAUCAGAUAUUCCCCUCGUGUCAACAGCUUGUCCAUCAUCAAUCAUUUGCAGUAGCUUCAGGACGAAUUAAAACAAUUUUGGAAAAACUUUUCAGAAAUUGCUAGAAUACAAGUACAUGCAUUAUGUACAUACGAUCAGCGAGAUAAAAUAUAUAACAAUGACACAUGCUCGAGGCUGUAGUGAAAACACUACUAAAUCGGAUUUACCGAUUUAUAGUACAACAUAAAAGUAUCAGCGAGAUGAACGAACAUGUGAAUUAGUGACAGAGUUGUAAUAUAUACCUGCUUCAAAUCAAGUACUACAUCAGGAAACCUUUUCAAAAUGCUGCUAAAAAUGGCUUCUGGAUUGUUGUCAGAUCUUGCAAUCUCAGGUUUCUCAUCGUCAGACAAACUAGAAUCACCUUCAUCAAUGUCCCUCUUUUUCCUACGUGAUCUAUGUCUAUCUUCCUUCGAUUUCCUUUUCUCUUUCCUCUUAUCACGUCUUUCAUGCUUUUCUUUCUUCUCACUUCUAGAACUUUUACUGCUCUUUUUAUAUUUAUCAUCCCUCGAUCUCCGUCUUCUUGAUUUCCUCUCCAAACUUGUUUCACUAUCUGAACUAGAAUACAAAGACGAUGAACUAUCAUCCGUCUCCGUCAAAUACUUCUUCUUACUACUUCUCUUUUUACUACCCAUCUUUUAACUACCUACAAAUUAUAACAAAACAAUAAUACCCAAAUUAAAACCCUAACAUCGAAAUUCGAAAAUCAAUUAAAAAAAACCCACUAAAAUUCAAAAUUACUUCAAAAUCUAUUUCAUUUCUGAAUAAAAUCUAAUCAUUUCAGCUCAGAAUUCAGUCAAAAAUAAAAAGAAAAAUUCAAAAAAAAAUAAAAAUAAAAAACAAAUCAAAUUGCUUUCAAACAAGUCAUUACUGAUUCAGAUUACAAUAACAAUAACAACAACACGAUGUAAUUGAUUCAAUUAGGGUUCUGAAAGAAGAAAACUAAUUAUCAAAAUUUAAAAUUUACCUCGAAACUUCGUUUCUCUUUCGCAAAUCGUGAAGCUUUUGCCAAAAAACAUUUACUACGAACAAAAGGGCGGAAAAUCUUUUGGUUGUAGAUUAGCCCAAGCCUAAAAAGGCCCUACAUUUAAGCCCAAUUAAUACUGGGCCUCCACUUACAGUAACGGUACUGACUGUACAGUACUUACUGGCUAGUGCAAGUUAUUUGAUUUUCCUUGCUAUCUGCCUCCUUUUUCAAAUUACUGCAUAUGUACUGGCUAAUGGCUAUCGAUUAUCGAACAGUGUCGCAGGAGUUUCAUUUUUUUUUUUUAAAGUUAUGAAAAGGAUAGGUUUAAUAGUAUUCUUAUAUUUGACUGGUUAAAACCGAUAUAAACCAAAUUUAAAUGAUUGACAUGCCUGUUCAGCACAUUUAUAUCAUGUUAAAAUAGCAUCCAUUGUUAGGUUUAGUGGCUGGUGACGACGUGACGAGGUUUUAUGAUCUAUCAGAACACAUUACCUCUAUUUAAAUUGUUAUUUUACAGUAAUGUCAUUUUCAGGGAUUUGGACUGAAUACCUCAACUUUCUAAAGAUACAAAUAAUAUGCAGGAAUAUAAUAGCUUAAGUAGAUAAAUAAAACUCUAAUCUGGAUUAGUAUAAUAUAUCAAGUUGGUUACGAAAUGUAAAUCAAUGGUUUUUUUUCUUUCUGGUAAUGACUUUCUUUUCUUGAGCAUGGACUGUUCUGUAGAUACAAUAAUGAUAAGAAUCAAUAAUUGUUAUUACAAUUGUAUGCCAAUAUUCAUACAGUAUUCUUUAUUACAAGCAUUUCAAGAAUAAAUUUAACAACACACAAAACUACAAUAUAGCAUUACAUCAAUGCUUUUCUAAGUAGGAAUUUACAAAUGCAAACCAUUCUAUUACUGUUCUGACGCCUGUCUUGGAGGGAAACCUAUGCCAUUGCGCUUGUUUGGGAACAGAACAAAAGCACUGCUAGCAAUAGCCCCAACAACUGGAGGCAACGCCAUAAUCAGUUGUUUUUGCGAUGAUUCAAAAGACGGAUAGAAACACUCUACUGUGUUACGAUCCAAGAGUGCAAGUAGUAUGAACACAAUUACUGACAGAAAAGCAUGAACAAAGUCCCCUAGACUACGCUUAUAUGCAGAUAAGUUCACUGCACUUGAGUCUGAAUCUGUUAAAGGAUAAAGUCCUUUCCUGGUCACAAUACCAUAUUGAACCUUUCCAUUUUUAUCAAUAUAACUGUCUGUGAACCAAGAAAAACAAGAUGCAAAGACACAAAGUGAAAGGAAAAUGGCAGUCAGGUACUUGUUGCCAGUGCGACAUUCUCCAUUGUUGGUGAAAGCGGGAUUGAGAGCUAUGAAAAGGAAGAAAGUCCCACUAGGGAGAAGCUUAACAAGGUUCCCUAAACCUUGGACUGUCGUCUGUGACACUUGCUGAGAUCUGGUUUCAGUCCCUUGUACUGAAGUAGGCGUAACGCCUGGAGCAAUUUGGGCCAUGGUGCUUUGGCUUUUAAUAUUGUGCUACGGUUGUAACGUUUGUGUCUGAGGAUCAUGUUAGACAUUUUGGGGGUAUUUAUAGAGAGCCAUUAAGUGAUAUAACGUGCUGUCAGUUCUGAUUUGAUAGGAGUUUGUUGAAUGACCAAGCUAGCAAGUUCUUGCAGAUUGCUUCUCAUAGAAGUCAGUUCUGGAAUAGUACCUUGACGAAGUAUAACAUGUAAUGGUCUCCUCGAAUGUGGGCUGUUGGAUGGUUCUUUAGCGUGUGCAGUUUGAAAUCCUGAUGUGCGUAAAUCACUUGGUUCUGGGCAUAUGUAAAAAGGCUCACUGAAAAUCUUGAUGAGGGUUAUCUAAUAAUAGAAGCCUUGUAUAUUCAAAUGCAUAAAAGAUUAAGAAGUCAAUCAUUUGAACAAAGCAGAAAAACAAUUAUAGUUGCAAAUUCCAAGCCAGAUAAAUAGCUUGAAGUAUUAUUUUUCAUUGAAUACACAGUCACAGUGUUCUUGAUUAAUAGAAAAUGUGGUAUUUAUUUGACCAGCAUCCAUUAUUAAUUGCCUAAUCUUAUUGUCAAAACGCCUCUGGUUGAUUGCUAGGAAGCUUAUUUAUUUUUAUUUUUUUGUUGAACUAGACCAGCCUAAACUUACUUUGAGUUUAGGAUUUGUGCUCAAAGGGUCAACAUUUUAGGACAUUGUUAGCAUAAACUCCACGAUACAUGGGUGAUAUAAUAUUCAAUGAGCCUACAAGUGGAUUAACCUUUGAGCCACUUGCUGACUCAGUUGUGCGUUAUCCAUUAUCAGAUUCAAAGAUGUAUCCAAAGGAGUAAGGUAAUUAGGUUUUAGAUACGACUGAAAUCCUGUGAUCUGUGUUUUUUCCAGAUACUCGAGGUUUUCGACUUUUCAUGAUUAAAAUGUUCAAAAAACAGCCACAAUUAGCUUAUAUAUAUAUAUUCUCUGCAAUUAGUGUGUACACACGAUUGAGUUGUACAUGUUUUGUACAAAAUAAGAGCCUCAAUUCUAACACGCUAAGUAGUUAACCAUUAGUAUUGUAUUAAUUCGCAUACAGUGGAUGCAAUAUAAAACAUCUUGAAGUGUUUUUGACAAUGUUGGACUUGCUCAAGAACUGCCUUGCAAGGCAACAAUGUUUUGUUAGAUACUCGAAGCUGCUUAAUUAUAAAACAAUUGGUUUGACUUCCAUCAUUAGUGGUUCUUCAAAUGCAAAGGUUUUUCUAGCUCUCUUACGGAAUUUGAUAACCCGCGAACCUACUACAUAUAAAUAUAUAAUCAUUAUAAUCUUAAGAACCAAAAACUAGAAUUGACAUGAUCAUUGCUUAUCGAUCAUCAUAUCCUUUGAUUUCUUUUAAGCAUUUUGAAUAACAAAGUUUCAAGUUUCAACCCCUAAACCCUAACUAAAUUGAUUAACUACUACAACCCUAUCAAAUCACAACACAAAAUGCAGUAAUUUCAUGCUGGUUAAACAAGAAAAACAAGAUCAAGAACUCAAACAUACCUUUUUUAUUAGAUGGUUUAACCAACUUUUAAAUACCUAAUUUCAUGCUGGUGAAAGAGAAGCUAAAGGCAUGGCUCAUGACUUCAUGAGAGUUGAGACUGUGUAACUGUUUUCUGGGAAACCGAUAUAACUACCCUACUUUGGGGGGGCCAUACUGGCCCACUACUAAAUUCAAUCCAUGCGGCCCAAGAUUGAUUGCAGCCCAAAACUACAUGUGAUGAUGUGAUGUGAAGAUUCAAAAUAUUUUGGUACACUGAGACUUUGUGAUUUGUGAAGAAUCAAUAAAAUUUAAUAAAUGAAUCAAAUAGGGAAAUCACAGUAUAUUUUACAUUCAUGCUCAAGUAUGAUUAAUCUACAGAAAUCUAUGUGAACUAUGUCUCCUGUGAAGCCUGCUCCUUUGGAGGGAACCCUAUUCCAUGGCGAUUGUUAGGGAACAGAACAAAAGCACUACUCGCGACAGCCCCAAUGACUGGAGGUAACGCCAUGAUUAAUUGUUUCUGUGUUGAUUCAAAAGAUGGAUAGAAACAUUCUACAGUGUUUCGAUCCAAGAGUACAACUAUUGCAAGCACAAUGAUCGACAGGAAAGCAUGAACAAAGUCCCCUAGACGAAGCUUAUAUACUGAUAAGUUCACAGAACUUGUAUCUGAAUCUGAUAAAGGAUAAAGUCCCUUCUUGGUUACUAUACCAUAUUGAACUUUUCCAUUUUUAUCAAUGUAACUGUCUGUGAACCAAGAAAAACAGGACCAAAAGCCGCAAAGUCCAAUGAAAAUACUAGUAAGGUAUUUGUUGCUGGUGCGACAUUCGCCAUUGUUGGUUAAUGCAGGAUUAAGGAAUACAAAAAGGAAGAAAGUCCCACUAGGGAGAAGCUUAAUGAGGUUCCCUAAGCCUGUGACAGUCUUUUCUGUUACUUGACCACUGGUUUUAUUUCCUUGUAACGAAGUGGGCUUAAUGUCUGGAGCAAUUUGUGCCAUCGGUAGCUAGCUAAGCUUUUGAUUUUGAGUGCUAGGUGUAUAUGAGUUUUGAGCUUUUUAGAACAAGUUACAAAUUUUCUGGAAUUUAUAGAGAGAUUCGUGGAGAAGAUAUAAACAUUACUAGCUAUUUAGUCUUGAAUGAGUGGAAUGUUAUUCAGUAUAUGGCCAAACUUGUUGGUUCUUGGCGAUUUCUUCUCUCAUGCAAGUCAGAUACUGACUUUGGACCUUGACUGUUCACCUAUCACCUAUUGGAAAACUUUGACUUAUCAAUUUGUCGUCUUCAAAUGUGGACCGUUCGAUGGCAUUAUGGCGUGUGCAGUAUGAAAAUCUGAAGUAUCAUAACCAAUUAUAAAGACCUUGGAACUGAAUUGAAAGGGACCUAUACUGUAUGAUGAAGAUGCAUACAAAAUAUUACAAGUGGGAAGAAAAUGAAAACACGUAAGACAGAGAAGACCUUUUCAACCUAUUCCAAGUCAGAUGGAGAGUUCCGAAUUUUUCUUUUUUCGUUUACAGAUGCACAGUGAUGGUGGCUAGCUAAGUCAUGAAGAAUAUGUUGUUUAGCGCGUGUGACCAUAUUUAAGGACUUAAUUCUUCAAUUUAUUCCUAUUCAGAUGGAAAUUCAAAAUGAUAAUAGUUCAUAUUAUUAAGUUUUAAUUAAACAAGAUGAUUAGGUUGAUAGGAACAAAAAUUUUAGGUGCAAUGAUAUUCUCUUCUAAGUAAUCAUGUACUGUGUUAAUAAGUACUUAUUGUUAAGAAGUAAGACCAAGAUGCAUGAUUAGCUUUCGUAACCAACGUUUAUCAUCACACUUUUUUUUCCUGACAGAUGUUUAUCAUCACACUUGUAAAAUAUCAUUCUGUCUUUCUGGAGAUGGAAAAGGACAUCCAACGACCGUGUUGUAUAGAAUAAUAUAAUCCAUUUAGUUUUACAUACAAAAUACAUUUAGUGCUGCAAUAGUCUCAAUUUAUUGACUUAGCAUUGCAGUGCAAGUUGGAUGCAUAAUCCAGUUUUAAUAUUAAACUGCAAGUUGCAUGCAAAAUGAAUUUUAGAAUUGCAAAUGGACUGCACGUCAAGUUAUUGGAUGUAAAUGUCAUUUCCUAAGACAAGUUAAUUUUCUCUGCAAAAUGUGUUUGCAAAUAUAAAACUGAAGAUAAAAAGAGCAUUUGUAAUACCUCAGGGCGAUGAUGCCAGAGGUCAGGGGUUUGAUCUUGGGCAUUGCAUCUUUGAGUUACUGUUCUUGUUAAAAACAGGCUUGCCAAUAAAAAAUAAAAAUAAAAACAACAACAACGAGUAAUUAUGAGCUCCUCAUGAGAGUGCAAAAGGUAAUGGAUAGCAACGUGAUGACUGCUUGUUCAAACGAAUAUGUAUUUAGAAGAGUCGGGUUUGCUAUUUAGAAAGGACUUGCAGCGCAUUUUGUAACGCGCUUGUCCUCUACUUUUGUGUAAUUAUUGUAUAUAUUGUCUUUGGGUAAAGUCGUGCUAAUUUUCAAUUUAAAAUCUUAAUUGUGAUUUAAAUUUUAAUUAUUAUGCUGGAUCAUAUCCCUGAAUAAGGACAGGUAGUACAAAUUCUUGGUCACAAUCCCUUAUUGAAUUUAUCCACUUUUAUUAACAGAACAUAGUCUGUACUGUGCAGAAUUACAAACCUAGCCUGCAGGGUAAAUGCACCAUGCAGAUGGUAUGUUAUCCACAUGCCCAAGCCAAUAUCCUAUAGGAAGAAGAAUCACCACAUCUAUAAGUGUAUGUACUAUAGUAUACACACCAAAUUAAGAUCUCAUUACAAGGUUUUACAAAUCUAUUAACAUUCCAACAAUAGCCUAUGAAGCCUGACACUAAUGAUUCAACAUCAUCAUAUAUCACCCUCUAGAGUCUAGAACGAUAUCCAGAAAUUCGUCUAGAACGAUAUCCAGAAAUUCUUCUGGAAUAUCCAUCAAUUACGAGGAAAAUACGAUGUCAUAUAAUCUUCUAAUACAUUUGACGAUAAAUCAAUCAAUAUAUUAAUACUCAUACAGUACAAUACAUCAAACAAGUAAAAUCACAUCACACAGUAGAUAACACCUUACACGGCACUGGCAGCAGUGGGACUAGAUUCUUCCUUGGUUAGUAGGGGUGUUUUGAUAGAAUCAUUAGAAUAAGAUGCCUGCGACGGUGUGCUUGGAGGGUACCCUAUUCCAUGGCGGUUGUUGGGGAACAUAACAAAGGCACUGCUAGCAAUGGCUCCAAUGACUGGAGGUAAGGCCAUAAUCAACGUUUUUUGUGUUGAUCCAAAAGAUGGAUAGAAACACCUUACCGCGUUAGAAUCCAAGAGUGCAACUAUAGCAAAGACAAACACCGAUAGAAGAGCAUGAACGAAGUCCCCUAGUCGAAGUUUAUAUGUGGACAAGUUCACAGAACUUGAGUCUGGAUCUGAUAAAGGAUAUAGACCAUUCUUGGUCACAAUCCCAUAUUGAAUUUUUCCCUUUCUAUCAGUAUAACUGUCUGUGAACCACGAAAAACAAGACGCAAAAGCGCAAAGUCCAAGGAAAACUCCGGUAAUAUACUUGUUACUGUUUUGACAUUCACCAUUGUUGGUUAUGAUGGGAUUAAAGAAUUGGAACAAGAAGAAAGUCCCGCUGGGGAGAAGCUUGACAAGGUUUCCUAGACCUGUAAAAGUACUUUGCGUGACUUGCUGAGUGGUUGAAGUAGACUUAACGUCUGAAGCGAUUUCGGCCAUGAAGCUGGCUUGGUUCUUGAUAUAGUACUGGGUGUAUAGGCUUCUGGUUCUUAGGAGUUAAGAUGAUCUUGUUAUGUACAUACGUCUUUGGUCUGCCUUUUAUAGAGAAUCCUAAGAAAGAGAACUGCAAGCUCUUAAUACUUGAAUGAUUGGAAUUUCGCAUUGAACUAGUAGGUUGGUGAUGACGGAGUCAUUGUAUUCUGAGUGCACACCAUUGGAAGGUUCAUUGGCAUGUAUCCUAUGAAAGUCAGAGGAUUAUCUAAUGACCGAAGGCGGCCUUAAGAUAGAGUCGAAAUACAACCCCUUCCAAAUUUAAAAUGCAUAAUUGCAUAAACUGAACAUAAAAUUUUAUAAUGGAAGAAAAUUAGAAGAAGGAAGAUGUAAGACUUUUUCAAUCUUUUGUCGAAAGGCAAACACACAACAGUUCAAGUUAAGUAUGAUCUUCAUGUCAGAUGAAAGUACAUAUUGUUAAGACCGUACGUACGACACUUUUGAAUGAGCUAAACUUUUAAGACACUGUUCAGACAAAAAUUCACUACUUAAAACAUUGAUCUAAGAAAGAUCACCAAUAUCAAAUAACUUUUUCAGGUUCUAUGCAUGGUUUGUAGUUAGCUUUAAUCUGGUAUACAAACACUUGUCAUAUUUUAUCUAAAUUGUUGUAGUGUUGGGUCAACAUAGUACCAUUGUGAGUUCAAGAGCAUUACUUAUUAAGGGUGUCAAUGCAUAAUACUGUCAAACUAGUUCUUAAUAGAUCGAAUGCGAUAAUGUAUAACAUCACAUAUUAAAACAUUUGAUCAACGUGCAACAAUUGAAUUCCCGGAAUAAUGGAAGUGGGUCAAUUAUACACCACAAUUUCUUAUUAAUCAAGAACUCUGUGAGAGUACUGUGUGUUUAUUGAAAAAUGAUCAAUUGGAAUUAUCUAUCUGACCUGUAAUAUGCUUUUGCUUUCCACAAAUAUAAUUGAAAAUUUCUGUUUUGUCUUUCGAAAUAUAUUUUUUCUCUCCCACUUGAGGCUUUUUCAAUUCUUUUAUGCAUGACUAUCCUCUCCAAGCCAGUUGUUCCGCCAUUAUAUUGGAUACUAGUCAGCAAAUAUUUCAAAUCCCACGCGCUGAAAAACCAUCUGACGGUCACAUCCAUUAACAUUAGCAUAAGCCGUCAAGGUCCCAUUCCAGGACUGACUUGUAUGACAGGAAAAAAACAGCAUGAGUCUACUAGUUUGGUCAUUCAACGAGAACUAACUCUAAUCAAUUCAAACUUAAGACUUAAGAGCGUGUUAUUGCUCAUUACUGGUCUAUAAAUACCUGAAAAUUUGGUGACAUGGUCAUCGCAACCUCACACUGAUAAACAUAGCAAGCAAACAAACAAAAUCCCACAUAGCAACUCAUGGCUCAAAUUGCUCCAGAUGUUAAGAUUGCUUCAGUAGAAGGGUCGACAACCACUCAACAAGUAACACAAAAGACAGUCACAGGCUUAGGAAAUCUUGUUAAGCUUCUCCCUAGUGGGACUUUUUUCCUUUUUGUAUUUCUCAAUCCUGCAUUAACCAACAAUGGUGAAUGUCGCACCAGUAACAAGUACCUUACUGCUAUUUUCCUUGCACUUUGCGGAUUUGCAUCUUGCUUUUCUUGGUUCACAGACAGUUAUAUUGAUAAAAAUGGAAAAGUUCAAUAUGGUAUUGUGACCAAGAAGGGGCUUUAUCCCUUAUCAGAUUCAGACACAAGUUCGGUGAACUUAUCAACCUAUAAGCUUUGUCUAGGGGACUUUGCUCAUGCAUUUCUGUCACUUAUUGUGUUCGCAAUAGUUGCACUCUUAGAUCCUAACACCAUGGAUUGCUUCUAUCCAUCAUUUGAAUCAACACAGAAACAAUUGAUUAUGGCACUACCUCCUGUUGUUGCUGCUGUCGCUAGUAGUGCAUUUAUUAUGUUCCCUAAUAAGCGCCAUGGACUAGGGUUCCCUCCACGAGAGGCAUCAGAGAAGUCAUAGAAUGGUUCAGUCCUACAUGAAGAGCAUGUAUGCAAUAUGUUGUAACUCCCCCUAUUGUGGUUUGUUGUAAUAAUAUUCUGUUUCUUGCUAUAAAAAUGAUUGAUUCUUGACAUGGUUUUUGUAUAUUCUAUUAUUCUAUAAAAAUAUUGAUUCUUGACAUGGUAGUUGUAUUUGUAUAUUGUAUUAUUCUGUGAGUUCUUUCUUUAAAGUAUCAUAAACAAUCCUAGUCUUUAACCUUAUAGCAUUAAAAAAAGUAAGAUGGAAAACACGUAAGGUUUGUAUUGUUUCAUAUGCAAUCGAAUUGGGCCAUAUCGACUAAGCAAUAGAACUCCAGGUUUAAUAAGGAAUACAUUAUAUAUGCUCUGACACCAACUAUACCGAAGCCUUUACCGCUUUGCGCCUAGGGGGAAAUUCCACACCAUUGAUGCCUGCACACAGUGGCUAAGGCGGGCGGGAAGAUGUUUCGCUGUUUGUGCAGUGGUUUAUCUCAUACCUCAUAUUAUGGUGAGAGAAUAUGCAAUAGGAAGGCAACAUUAAUUCUUUAAAAUAAUUUUCAAAUUGAAAAGCAUCCAUUUUCUGGUUCCAGCCCUCUCUAGAUUUAUAUAACUGAAUUCUAAACUCUAAACCGGCCAGUAGAAGUGUAGAAGCUUGUUAAGAGACAUGACUUCUCGUCCAGCUCAUUUCAUAUUGGCAUAUAUAAGUCUGUCAAUAUGAAUGUGCUUAACCAGAAGUCAUGUUUCCUCUAUAUCAGCAAUCCUUAUCACAACUUCACAACUGGAUAUUAAUUAAGAUACCGUUUGGUUUUAAACAAAUUAAAAGAAAAACAUUUCUAACAAGAAAUCAGAAGUAUUAACAUUAAACAACUAAUGUAGAUAGAUACAAUAAUAUGUAUAGUAUGCAUUUAACACCUACGCGUACGGGGUACAAAGGCGUGUCCAUUUUGGAUUUUGGUUAUUUUUCAUUUUAUAAAGUCAACUGUCAUUUUUCUUUUAAUAUAAAAAUGUAUUAUCAGUAUUAUAGAUUCCAUAAUGUCAGGUAUACCUCUUGAUUUCACUAGAACCUUCACAGUUCCAGACGUAGUCUGCAAUAUGAAUGCACCAUGCAAAUGGUCCAUUAUAUUAUCGCAUACCUAACCUGCUAUCCUAUGAGAAUUUGAAUUAACACCUCCAGUGUAAAUUUGUACCCAACAGAUCAAAUUGCACAAAACAGGAUUUACAGAAGAAAGAAGCAAUUUUCUUAGCAUUCCAAGUGAGAACCCAAUAUAUGUGCAAUAUAACAAUAGUAAAGCAAACAAUAAAACAAUAAACAAAUAAAGAACACACGAUAUUUUUAACGUAGUAAAACCCAAUAUGGGAAACGUCCACGGUUGUCCUCGCGACAACAAAUAAAUCCACUAGAUGAAAAGAGAUGUACAAACCUAUCAACUACCUGCAAUCACUGCGAGUUGACACUACUGGUUAUCUCUAACACCUUGACUUCACCGGAGCACCUUAAUGUACGCACAAGACACUCGACUUCUUGAUGAACACACAAGGAUACUCGACUUCUUGAUGAACACACAAGAAGACUCGAAGCUAAAUCAAUAUAAACAAUAAUGAAGAAGAAGAUGAAUGGGGAAGAAGGAAGAAGAAGAUGAAUGGGGAAGAAGAAGAUGAGUUCAAUCACCAAAGCAACCUAAACCAAAACCUAAACAAACUCCAAGACUAGAGAUGAAUUGGACGGCCAAAGAACUAACUUGUUCUUUGGAAGAGAAACCCCAUUUAUACUUAGGGUUGGAGAACACAAGAAUUGGGCCGAAAUAGGACGAAAUCCAUAUUGGACGUACGUACGUCGAAACGACGUUCGUACGUCUCCACACAAUAAACGCUUGCUGACUGCUUGGACGUACGUACGCCCUAACUCAGUACGUACGCUCAACACGAUGGAAAGUUUGCUGACAUGAGGGACGUACGUACGUCCUAACUAGGUACGUACGUCCUGAACCAAAAACACACUUUUGACACACUAGACGCGAAGACAAAGAGUCGGGAUGACGCGCGUACAACAAGGUUUUCCUAACAAUGAACUCAAGGCGAAAUAACCAUAGACAACCAAUGUCACAAAAUUGAUGUCAAACAACUUAGUGCCGGUUUCAAUCUCCCCCUUUGACAUUGAUUUUGUGACAAAAACCUAUGACUCUAAUAGCACUUAUAAAACGUGCUUACAAAACCCAAACCAUGGCAUUUAUAAAACAUGCCUACAAAAACACUCAUAGGAAAUACAUACCAAAUCACCAACCCUUGAUAACCAUCUUGAGCAAGACACUUUAAUCAUCAGAGACCAAACGAAAGCAACAAGAAAUUCUGAAACAAUCAAAGAGCCAACGGAAGUUCCUCGAACAACUCCCCCAUACUUCAUGAGCUCCAAGGUUUAAUACUCGAGCUUACCCAAAACUGUACAUGCACUUUGUGAUCAUCAUCACUUUCACUCCCCCAUACAUGUUCACUCCCCCAUACAUGUAGUAUACCUGAAACAUGACCUAAAAAUACACUAACAAAGAAGAAGAAGGUGUUAGUAUUAGAGUCAUAAAUCUCCCCCUUUUUGUCACAAAUGAUGCAAAGGGGUGACAUAAAUCAAAACGAGAAUAAAGCAAAAUGAACCAAAGAACAGAAGAAGAGAGGAAAGAGAAAACCAUACCAUAGAUCUGGAAUCCAUGACACGCAAAACUAAAAGACAUGAGAGAGAUCUAGGCAUAUAAAUGAAGAAGAAAGAGUACCAACACAUACACAAGAAGGGAGAAUAGAUAAGAACCAAAACGAGAUAAGAAGGAGAUAGUGAAAAGACACUGAAUACUUAUAUAGGUAACAGAGGGAAGAAAAGAAAACAUAACAGGAAUCCCUGAUAGAAACCAAGAGAAUCCUAUACAUAGAAGAAAGAGUCAGGACCCAUCAAUCGGAACAAAUGAUUCACUAGAAUAUCACUUUAAUCAACCAACCACAGUCACCUGAGAUAGACUCCAGAGAAACGACUUCAUAGUAGGAAGAUAUCUAGAGAAAAAGAGCAAACAAACAAAAAGGACGAAAUACCAUACCCGAUGAAAUCGGCAACGUACACUAAUGACCAAGAACCAAAUAGUCAAACCUGUGAGAAAUGUGCAAGAAAAGAAUAUGCAAAAAGAGAAAGAAGAAGAGAUAAACAAUAGUUAGUAGGAGACAUGAAAGAGAAUAGGGAAACCAUGCAUACUAGACACAUCCAACAAUAUCCCAUGACAAAACUACAGGAAUAUGAGUAUCUGCAGGAUGAAAUAUGUAAAGUAUAAGAAAAUCCAUUGAGAAUCCAUUGGGAAAUCCAAUCUGUACAUGCUCCUGAAACAACUCAUCCAACCACAAAAAAAAAUUAGAGAAUCUCAUAAACAAAGAGAAGAAAAUAUUAUCCCAAACACAAUGGAAUAGAGACAUAAAAGGAAUAAACCUGUAAGCCCACCCCUAGUGAAACCCAAAAAUUAGUUCAACAUAUGCCAAACAAGAUAAGCAAUCAUCAAACUCAUAAAAAAAUACUUUAACUGAAGAAUGAGCAAGGAUUAUCGAUGUCACCAAGUCACAAAACAACAAUCCAACUUCAGAGCAAAUUUCCUGCCAGAACAUUAAGACUGCGAUGACAUGCCAUACAUUGUCAGAAAGAUUAGAGAGUCAAUAGAAGAGAAUUGCUAACAAUAGAUGACCAAACUGAGCAUAUGCAUCCCAAAGUAGAACAGUGGUAGCCCAAAACCAUUGCAGGAGGAUUAUUGCAGAAGACUACCAAGAACACAUCUAAUCAAACCUAUUGCAGGAAAAAAUAGGAUCAACCAGGCACAAGAAGCAACAAUAAGAGGAUAGGCAACUCUCAUAAGUAUUUAAUCACACACCAGCUAGCCAACAAGGUAAUUCAAGAAUAUUAUCCCAACAUAGAAAAGUAUGAUGAGAACCUAUGAGAAAACAUGAAGCAAUAUAAAUCAUGACAAACGAAUACACCAAUAAUAUGAUUUCAUCACCAAAAUAUGCUUAUGCAUACCUUGUAGCUUUCUUAAAACAAAUUGAGAACUAUUACCUUGAGAAAUCACAUCAAACACAUGUGAUCCAAUGACAAAAAUAGAAAGCAUGAAGGUUAAAACCAAAUCAUACUAACAAUAUGACCUUAGUAUGUCAAUGAAACACCGACUGGAAAGAAUUACCAAGGAUUGGAGCCAAAAUAGAGUAAGCCAUAAACACUUUCAGCAAGAACAUCUACCUGUAAAGUUACUGAGAGAAAAAUAAAGUUGACGACACGCACAGUGUCCAUGAACCUGCAUACAGUAGAAAAGAGCAGUCUAAGGGGUGGUAGCAACAACCAAUGCUAGAACAACAAGCAUACAAGAAUCCGAAGGAAUGACGCCUCUACUCCUUUGAGCACGAGGAGGACGUGUGCCCGAGGACGAAGCACCCUUGGAACCGGGUGUUUCUUUGGUGGGAGUAGUCCGAGCUCGCUUAGGAGGCAUGUCCUGCAUACCCAGAACAGGAACCAAUCGAAGAAUGUUAGAAAACACUCUAAGUAACAACCAAAACAGGUGAGAAUUUUCAUUUAGGCAUUUGAGCAAACACUUGGUGUGCAAUAGAGAACUAACCUUAACAAUAGAAAAACAAACCGAAUAACUAACAACACAAAUAUUGAGAGACAUCACAUGAAAAAAUUUCUAAGUAUUGUAAGGAUUCCGAUUAAAGCACGAAUACAAUUUGAACAAGCCUCAACCAUGAGAAAAGGAAAGAACGAAGAACUAAAUCAUACACCAAACCACGGUAGUCAAAAGAAUGAUGCAACUAUGCAGGAGAAGCAGGGUAGUCCUAUACCAAAAUUCGGAAACAAACCAAAACUAAGAUCAAUAAGUAUUUUGAAAGUCACUUGCAAUUGGACAAAUAUAAAAGUGAACCAGAUCACAACAAAACCAAGGAAACACUGUCUAGGCUGCAAUACGGAAAGACCCUGGUUCAAACACAAUGAACAUUUUUAUUGGUUUUAUCCAUGUAAAAUAAAUGCCAUUCUCGUGUGGGAGUAUAGGACACCUCCAUCUUUUACCAAAACACGAGGGUAGGGUGUAGCCUACAUCUUUUCGGCAAAACACACUCAAGAAGUGCAAUACCAUGGUAACGUGCAACACAAGAACUAACAUCUCCUGAGUGCAUCCGUCAGAGCAUGACCCUCAUAGCCCCAACGGGUUCCUAGCCAACUGAUAAUGUGCCUAAGACAUUCAAAUGGCUAGGGAUUUUGUGAGUCAUUGACCACUUACAAGAGGUAUAUGUAAAAAGAGUGAUGACCAUGAAGAAAACAGAAGCUAGAGAUGAUGCCAGAUGAUCAUAUCUUAAUCAUACAAGGAUCAAGGUAUAAAAAUACUCUAAAAAUCCCACAACAUGCAAAUGCAUCAUGCAGUAAACCACCAAAGGCGAAGGGAGUAUGAUGCAGCCCUACAACAAUCCUUGACAGGAAUCCACAGUUGAAGUUACCAAACUAUAACUAGCAAAAAUAAUGGAAUCCAAACAAUAAAUAGACUAGUAUGUCCUCAACACCUAAGACGAAGCCUAUAGAAGAGAGAUAAUAAAAGAACCUAAACCUCCCAAACAAAUUGCAACUUAUUUAAGACAAUUGAAUUAAACAAAUAUCUCAGAAACGAUGCAUCCAACAACACAUACAUGGAAUAAUAAAAAAAAUAGAAGGAAUAACCAACAACCUUUUUUUUUUUUAUUAACAAUGUAUUCAGACAUGCAACAUGAUCUGCAAGCUAGACAACCAAAGCAUAAAAAAUAGAAGCACCAAACAAAUAGCCUAUGUGGUUAGAGAAAUAUGCAAUUUAAAUAACACAAGGCUAGAAACAAACUACAUCAUCCCAAAUGUGGGACACCACCAGACCUUUGCAAGUCCAGAAAAACCUUCAACUUAUCCUUUCUUACCCAUACUUGUUUAACACUAGGCGUGCACACCUUGAGAAUUGAAAAGAUAUGAGAUCUCCCCUUAACAAGCUUUGCAAUAGACUUGUCCUUAACUAAUUCCACCUUAGUCUUUGACUUCCUUUUGUUGGAGUAUCUGUUUUUCUUAAACCUAUGACAAUAAACAUUAGAAUUCCAAGGUCUAGAAAACGCACAAGAAGGAACAUAAGAAUCAACAAGAUUAUAAUUAUAAGGAACAUGAGAAUAACAUUUAACAUGUUGAUUAUAAUCCCAACAAAAGAUAUCCAAAUGACCAUCUCUACCACAAUAAGAACAAUGAAAAUUAUUAGAUUUUCUCAAACAAGUCUUAUAAGAAAAUGCAGUAGUGGUGGAUAAACCAUGUAUGUCACUAUUUGGUUUAUGACAUUGUCCCUUAAAACCCAUACCUCCCCUAUUAGAGCAAGAUGGCUUACCAGCAAAAGCAACCUUAUCAUUAGCCUUAGACUUAAACUUUGUGCGAGAAACAUGCUGAAAACUAUUAGUAUUAAGUCUAGUCUCAAUAGGCGGGGUAGGCAAAAGAGCAGGCAAACUAGAUUUUACAAAAGUAGUCACACUAGAUGAACUAGUAGAACUAGCAAUAGGAGAGUCAAAUCUAGUAUUGUCAAAAACCUGCAAUUGGAGUUGAGUAGACGUUAAAUCGUUCUUUGUUACCUCAUACUCCACCAAUAGAGAUUUGUAUUUCUCAUCGACCUCCUGAUUGGCCUUCUCUAAAGCUGCAAUUCUACAUAACAAGUCAAGUUUUUCUUUUUCAAAUAAUUGAGAAAUAGAAAUUGCACCAUCUGCAGCAGAAAGAAUUUGUUUUUCAAGAGUUUCGAUUUUAUCCUGCAAAGUAAGAUUAGCCUUAUCCAAUUUUUUAAUUUUGGAUUCAUAAACUUCCUCUUGAAGCAUAUAGUCUUCUGCACAAUGUCUGAGUCGUUGUUCUAGAGAAUCAACCUUAUUCUGCAAAACACCAUUAUCUUCAAAACAAAAAUUAUCAGAAAUAGUAGACAAAUUACAAUUAGCUUUAUUAAACUUUUCUUGCAAAUCAAUAUUAGCUUUUUGUAAUCUGUCACAUUCUUUUGCAGAAAGUCUGUAAAGAAGAGCCCAAUCACUAUUGCUAACAACAUACAAAUUAUCAUCAUUUUCAAAAUCAAAUUUUGGUUUUGUAGAUUUAGACGAUUUAGCAAUAAAAUUAUUAUAACCAGACUCAUGAACCAUUAUUGCACUCAUAGGAUCUACGCGUGAGCCAUUACGCCCCAUAACAAGCGCCCUGCGACUGAUACCAAUUGAGAACCCAAUAUAUGUGCAAUAUAACAAUAGUAAAGCAAACAAUAAAACAAUAAACAAAUAAAGAACACACGAUAUUUUUAACGUGGUAAAACCCAAUAUGGGAAACGUCCACGGUUGUCCUCGCGACAACAAAUAAAUCCACCAGAUGAAAAGAGAUGUACAAACCUAUCAACUACCUGCAAUCACUGCGAGUUGACACUACUGGUUAUCUCUAACACCUUGACUUCACCGGAGCAUCUUGAUGUACGCACAAGACACUCGACUUCUUGAUGAACACACAAGAAGACUCGAAGCCGAACUAUGAAACAAGCUUACACCAGAGUUCCUUAAUGAACACACAAGGAUACUCGACUUCUUGAUGAACACACAAGAAGACUCGAAGCUAAAUCAAUAUAAACAAUAAUGAAGAAGAAGAUGAAUGGGGAAGAAGGAAGAAGAAGAUGAAUGGGGAAGAAGAAGAUGAGUUCAAUCACCAAAGCAACCUAAACCAAAACCUAAACAAACUCCAAGACUAGAGAUGAAUUAGACGGCCAAAGAACUAACUUGUUCUUUGGAAGAGAAACCCUAUUUAUACUUAGGGUUGGAGAACACAAGAAUUGGGCCGAAAUAGGACGAAAUCCAUAUUGGACGUACGUACGUCGAAACGACGUUCGUACGUCUCCACACAAUAAACGCUUGCUGACUGCUUGGACGUACGUACGCCCUAACUCCGUACGUACGCUCAACACGAUGGAAAGUUUGCUGACAUGAGGGACGUACGUACGUCCUAACUAGGUACGUACGUCCUGAACCAAAAACACACUUUUGACACACUAGACGCGAAGACAAAGAGUCGGGAUGACGCGCGUACAACAAGGUUUUCCUAACAAUGAACUCAAGGCGAAAUAACCAUAGACAACCAAUAUCACAAAAUUGAUGUCAAACAACUUAGUGCCGGUUUCACCAAGUACUAGGUUACAGUCUUACAGAGCCAUCUGACAAGGCAACAAGGUUUGAUGAGCGACUGGAAAUAAUAUUCAGUAAUUCUUUGGACAAAUCAAUUGUAUAUAAGAGAUAUAACAGGAUUAAGGUGCUGGCAUGCUUUCAUUACACUUCCAAUGCAUUUAACGAAAAAAAUCAAUGUAAUAACAUUCAAUGAUACAAGUACAAUAGAUUACACAGUACUGACAGCAGAGCGAUAACUUUAUACUUCUUUUGUAAGUAGGGGAGUUUUAAUAGACUCAUCAGAAUAUGAUGCUUCUGAGGACGUGCUUCGAGGAUACCCUAUACCACAGCGAUUGUUAGGGAAUGUAACAAAGGCACUGCUAGCAAUAGCCCCAACAACCGGAGGUAACACCAUAAUUAACACCUUUUGUGUUGAACCGAAAGAUGGAUAGAAACACCUCACUGCGUUGGAAUCCAAGAGUGCAACUAUAGCAAACACAAUAAGCGAUAAAAGAGCAUGAACAAAGUCUCCUCUUCGAAGUUUAUAAGUGGAUAAGUCCACAGAACUUGAGUCUGGAUCUGAGAAAGCAUAAAGACCAUUCUUGGUCACAAUUCCAUGUUGGCAUUUCCCAUUUCUAUCAGUAUAACUAUCUGUGAACCAUGAAAAACAAGUCAUAAAGGCGCAAAGUCCAAGGAAAACUGCGGUAAUAUACUUGUUGCUGGUUUGACAUUCACCAUUGUUUGUUAAAAUGGGAUUAAGGAAUUGGUACAAGAAGUAAGUUCCACUUGGGAGAAACUUGACGAGGUUCCCUAGGCUUGUGAAAGUAUUCUGUGUGACAUCUUGAGUUGUUGUAGUAGACUUACCGCCUGAAACGAUUUGGGCCAUGAAGCUAGCUAGGUUUUUGAUAUACUACUGGGUGUAUGGGUUUUCUGUUCACAGAAUGAUCUUAUUACAUACUUCUCUGGGUUUUUUAUAGAGAAUCUUAAGAAAGAUAAUUACCUACUCUUCGUAUUUGAUUAAUAGGAAUUUCGUGUUGAACUAGUAGGUUAUUGGUGAUGAUGUCGUCCUCUUCGUAUGUGUAUGUAGUUGGAAGGUACAUUAGCGUGUGAGAUUGGAGAGGUCAAAGGAUUAUCUAAUGAUAAAAGGCCGCCCUAACGAGUUGACAUUAAGACUUCCAUAAUCAAAUCCAUAUGGAAUACAUAAGAUAGACCAUCUCCGGCCAUCUUUGGAAAAGUAAGCCAAAGUAGUUGAGAAUGGUUUGCACAUUCCUAGUCAGAUAGAUAAUUUUGAUUCUGUCCUUCCAUUUGAAACACCGUGCGAGUAUAGUUUUCACUUUUCAUUACUUGCAUGUUAAGACAAAGAUUAUGAUGGUCGAUAAUCUAAACAACACAAAGAUUCACUAAUUCACUUCUACUGUAAUCUGUGUUCUCCUUAAGCUAGUCAAGUAUGUCCUCUAAGAGUCUAAGGUAGACAUAUUGUCUGGCGCGCACAGCACCAUACUAAAUUAAUGACGCUGUAGUUGCUUACUAAUUAACAAGUUGUCGUAGCUUGGUAAUGGUCCUAGGAAAAUGUAAUUCUUGAUCGAUUUUCAGAAUUUAAAAUGUUCAAGCUAAAUGACUAAUCAGACUGUCAGAGGUCGAAGAAUCUAAAGCAAUCUGAAAACGGGGUAGGGACCUCUGUAACUUAACAACCUCGCUCACCAAUCUAAUUUUUUUAAAAGAAAAUAUACUUAUAUACAUGUACAAGAAAACAUAUCACAGCGGUGUUAAUGUAUAUUCAAAUCCAAACCACAUUAUACUUAAGAUCCAGUUCUUUAUGGUUAUUAGAAUCAUAUCCAAACACGUACAGAGUGAGUGCGACCAAGUCCUCUGUGAGGCUUAAAAAUGAUUAUUAAAUUUAUUUUUAGUCUCAUUAGAUAUAAGAUACACAUUUGAUCAACGUGCGAAAUUUGAGUUCCAGGAAUAAUUGAUGGAGUUUGAUUAGAAAAAGUUAUAAAUUGGAUUAUAUAUGUAUCUGACCUGUAAUAUGCAACUAGAAUUAUUUUGUUUGCUUUCUACAAAUGGUUGAAUAUUUCUUCUUUGUCUCUCCUAUUGACCUACUGUUGUUUUUCUCCCACUUGAAAAUUUUCCUACUCUUUUAUUCAAUAAUUUGACUAGCUUUUCAACUCGUCUGAGCAUUUCAUAAUACUAGCAUCAAGAUUUUCAUAUUGCAGUCACUAAAGAACCAUCGGACGGCCUUCAUCCAAUAGCAUUUUCAUAAGCCUGUUACAGUACUGACUUGUGUGACAUAAGAAAUUAGCAAGAAGAACCUACUAGUUAGGUCAUUCAUUCAAUGAGAUCAUCAAAUUCACUUCAUACACUUAAGUCCGUGUUAACACUCUCGUCACUGUCUAUAAAUACCCCCAAGUGUAAGUAACAUGAUCAUCAUAAGAAAACACUUACAAACAUAGCUAUAGCUCAAAAUCCCCUAUAGCAACUUCAUGGCCCAAAUUGCUCCAGAUGUUAAGACUGCUUCAGUAGAAGGGUCGACAACCACUCAACAAAAUACACAAAAGACCGUCACAGGCUUAGGAAAUCUUGUUAAGCUUCUCCCUAGUGGUACUUUCUUUCUUUUUGUAUUCCUCAAUCCUGCAUUAACCAACAAUGGCGAAUGCCGCACCAGUAACAAGUAUCUUACUGCUGUUUUCCUUGCACUUUGCGGCUUUGCUUCUUGUUUUUCUUGGUUCACAGACAGUUACAUUGAUAAAAAUGGAAAAGCUCAAUAUGGUAUUGUGACCAAGAAGGGGCUUUAUCCUUUAUCAGAUUCAGACACAAGUUCGGUGAACUUAUCUACAUAUAAGCUUUGUAAGGGGGACUUUGCUCAUGCAUUUCUGUCACUUAUUAUGUUCGCAAUAGUUGCACUCUUAGAUCCUAACACCAUGGAUUGCUUCUAUCCAUCAUUUGAAUCAACACAGAAACAAUUAAUUAUGGCACUACCUCCUAUUGUUGCAUCUGUCGCUAGUAGUGCAUUCGUUCUGUUCCCUAAUAAGCGCCAUGGGCUAGGAUUCCCUCCAAGAAAGGCAUCAGAGAAGUCAUAGAAUGGUUCAGUCCAGAUUCCUACUUGAAGAGCAUGUAUCUGAUAUGUUGUAAUUUCCCUAUACUAAAUAAUAUGUUUUGAAAAUAAACUAUUGUAUCUGUAAAUUGGUUUGAAUAAUAUUCUGAUUCUUAAUAUGAUAGUCGUACACAUUAUUCAUUCUUGACAUGGUUGUUGUACCAUUUUGAAAAUUAUUUCAUUAAUAAAGUAUUUAUAAACAAUCUCAACUUUAAGGCUGGUACCUGUAAUCAAAUUUUGAUUAUUAAUAAUAUCUUAUUUAUCAAAAUGAAAAAAAAAAAACUGAGUAGUCCCACGUCGAUAAAUAACAGUGUAAAUAAAUAAUGUUCUAGUACCCUGUAUUGUGGAGGCAUUUUUCCGUAGUAAGGUGAGCAUUCAAGGGAAAGGCAUCACCUUUGAGAUAAGAAAUAUUACAUAUCAUCAAUUCUUAUUCAUUAGGAUAAUGAAGAGUAUCGGUAAAUAAACAGUAUAGAAUGUUUUCAUUUUUCGACAGAUAGAACUUGAACAAUACCAAUAUCCAGCCGUGGCGUUGACUGAACCCAGUUUUCUUAAUAAACUGGUUGAGGUCUGCUGAAUUGUCUAUCUUCUUUCGAAACUCUUGAAAAGGGAAACACGAAAUGAGGUACAACGACAAGAAACAUGCCUGCUUUUAUUAAUCUAGUCACUCGAAUGGCAACAAAUUUUUUUAAAAAUCAACCCGAAGAAUUCUUGACUUUGUCAAGAGCACAUAACAAUAGUUGUUUUUGUCUUAUUUAGAGCCAAAGAUUGGGAUUUGGGAGUGUGUAAGAAUUGGUAUCAUGCAGAUAAUAAAAUUUGACCAUAUGAUAUCUGAGAACUAAAUAGUUACAUGCAACAUGAAAUCUAUAACAAGCAUUUCAAAAAUCAUAAAGUUUUAUUACAACUUCUCCGGAAAUUAAAACAUGUAGCAUUCAUGCUGUUCAACUGUUCAAGUAGGAAUCUACACAGAUGAACCUGCAGUCUUUGGCUCCUCUGAUGGUUGUCUUGGAGGAAAACCUAGCCCAUGACGCGAGUUCGGGAACAUAACAAAUGCACUGCUAGCAACAGCCCCGACAACAGGAGGUAACGACAUAAUCAAUUGUUUUUGAGUUGUUUUAAAAGACGGAUAGAAACAAUCUACUGUGUUAGGAUCCAAGAGUGCAACUAUUGCAAAUACAAUAAUUGACAGAGUAGCAUGAACAAAGUCCCCUAGACAAAGCUUAUAUCCCGAUAAGUUUGCGGAACUUGGGUCUGAAUCUGUUAUAGGAUAAAGCCCUUUCUUGGUCACAAUACCGUAUUGAACCUUUCCAUUUUUGUCAAUAUAACUGUCUGUGAACCAUGAAAAACAAGAUGCAAAACCGCAAAGUCCAAGGAAAAUACCAGAAAAGUACUUGUUACUGGCGCUACAUUCACCAUUGUUGGUUAAAGCAGGGUUGAGGAAUACGAAAAGGAAGAAAGUUCCACUAGGGAGAAGCUUAAUGAGGUUCCCUAAGCCUGUGACAGUCUGUGCAGUUACUUGUUGAGUGGUUGUCGGCCCUUCUACUGAAGGAAACUUAGCGUCUAGAGGAAUUUGAUCCAUGGAAGCUUAGCUAUAGGCUAUUGAUCUUGCUUUAAUUAUGUGUUUUUCUGGUUGCGAUAAGGUUUGUGUUACAUAAUUCCUGAGUAUAUAUAGACAAUAAAUAAAAAGAGAAAAAUAUUACGUACACAUUCUUGAGUCUCGAUUCCUGUAAUUUAAAGUUGAAUAACUGAACAAGUUGGUUCCUUCGGAUUUCUUUAUUCAUGCCAGUUGUUAAAUUUGAUACAAGUCAUUCUGGAGCAGGACCUUGAUGGCUCACCUACAAGUGCAGGGGUUUGCAACUUAUGGUGUCGAUAUAUAUGUACAUUGACCGUUCGAUGGCAGGUGUGAUGCAAAUUUUUUGAAGAGGGUUAUCCAAUGAUAAAGGUCUGAUGAUGAGCUGAGAAAGACGUGUCAUAGUAUAAUGCAUAAAAGAAUAACAUUAAGACUUUUUCGAUCCUAAAAGAAUGCAGAGCAAAUUAUUCUUUUGCAUAUCCCAGGUCAGAUAGAGAAUUCCAAAUUGUCAGUUGUUAAAAAUACAGUCAGAGAGCUUUUGAUUAAUCAGAAAUGUGGUAUAAUUGUGACUUGUAUGAUCCAUUAUUAACAAAUUAAGAUUCCUAAUGUAUGAAGAUGAGCAUUGAUCACAUGUUUGAUAUUUUAUAUCGAGGCCCCAGAAAUGGAUUUAACUAUAAGCCCCAUCUCGGACUUAGUCGUGCCCUGUCCAGUUUUUAAAUCAACGAUUAAUUUGCGAUUCAUCAUGGAUACACGUUGACACCCUGCAGUGAUUUCUCAUGUAGAUAAUUCAAUGAUUAUAUUAAUAUGAUCAGAGUAUGUACUGUGAAGUUACAUUAUACGGUAUGAAUAGCCAGUUACAAAAAUAAAACCCACGUCAGACCCAUUCAAAUUUACAACCCUUGGUUCAGUUUAUCUGUAUAUAUAACUAGUCCUUGACAAACUACAGAUUAUUUAGUGAAGGAAAAUCACAUUGUCGAUUACUUGCAUCUUGCAUCUGUCGCCUCUGCAUGAGUGCAUGACUUAUUAGAUAUGUUCUAAACAUACACUAGGAUUCCUGUGAGACAUGGCUUGAACUUGAAGCGUACCCUAUACCGUGGCGCUUGUUUGGGAACAUAACGAAAACAAAGCUAAAGAUAGUCCCAACUACAGGAGGUAACACCAUUAACAAUACUUUCUGUUCUGACCCAAAAGAUGGAUAGAAACACUUCACUGUGUUAGGAUCCAAGAGUGCAACCAUUGCAAAUACAAGCACUGAUAACAAAGCAUGAACAAAAUCCCCUAGUCGAAGUUUAUACCUUGAUGAGUUCACUGACUUUGUGCCUGAAUCUGAUAAAACAAAGAACCCUUUUUUUGUUACAAUCCCAUACUCAGUAACCCCUUCACUGUCAACAUAACUGUCUGUAAACCAUGAGAAACAACAAAAGAAUCCACAAACAAUGAUUAGAAUACCGCUAAGGUACCUGUUAACGGUGUUACAUUUACCAUUGUUGGUUAAGACAGGGUUUAGGAAUAUGAAUAGGAAGAAAGUCCCAGUAGGAAGAAGCUUGAUGAGGUCUCCAAGGCUUGUAAGUGUCUUGUGUGCCAUGAUUUGUUGAGUUGUUCGUCCUGGUAUUAACGAAGACUUGGUGCUUGUUGUACACAUAUCUUUUGCCUAAUUCUUGAUCUUCUAGACUUGUAUGUCUGUAUCUGUUUUAGUUCAUAGGGCCAUGUAUCUUUGGUUUUUUAUAGAACUUGCGCAAUAGGCUUCCAAAGAAUGAGGACCAUCAGCUUACUGCAAUCUGAUCAUGUAUUCCUAACCAUUCGAUGUACCGCCUAGGAGUUUAGUUUGGGAAAAGAGGGAACUACAUUGAUUGGUAUAUUUGAUGGAGAGGGAAAGAUACUGAACUUGCAAUGGAUAGAAGCACACAUGCUGGUAUGGUAAAAUUGAGUAACACAGCCGUAGGGGUACCUCCAUUUCUUAAAUUGGUUAAUGAUGAUAAUUUCAAGUUUCAUGGAUAACUGAAAGAAGUAAUAUAUUGACCUACUUUAAACUAGAAAUCAAGAAACAAUUGGGAGAAUCAAGACAAGUAACAACAAUGACAGAAGACGAAGCUCGCCAGCGGUUUCUCCGCAUUACAGCCGAUCAGUAACUGCGUUGAGUACAUGACUUCUAUAAAAUACUUAGUGGUAAAAUUAACCAGAUUACAGGCUACAGCAGCACUAUUAGCCUAACAAUGAACUGAUAUUGAACCAGGAAACAAAGAUUAGGCCAGUUAUACCGAAACCCUAAUCCUAAGUACCAUUGUAAACAUCAUUACUACAAAGAUAACGGAUUUUAUUUAUCAAAAAAAAAGAAAGAUAACAGAUCUAUCUAUAUACUAUAUAAUAGUGGAGCCUAACAAGUGCCACGUGGCGUGUUCUCAACAACUUGAGAAUAGAACUUAAGCCCAAUAUUAAGCCCAAUUGAAGCCCAGUUGUAGUUAAAAAGGAAAUCCACCUUUCAUGUAAAAGAGAGAUUUAUAGAAACCUUAAAACCUUUUAGAAUUUGAUUCUAAAUCUCUUUUUCCUACUAAAUUCUUUUUCUAUUUAAAAUCCUUAAUUCAUAUAUAAAAACCAUACUAAAUACAAAAAAUAUUAAUUAUAAAUCUCUACAAAUUUAGGUUAAGAAAGGUAUUAAAAAAAACUCGGUUCAACAAAUCACUUAUAAAGUCAUUAUAAAAUCUCUACAAAUUUAGGUUGAGAAGAGCAUUAAAAAAUGUUCGGUGAUUUUCCAUUUUAUUGAAUAACACAAAUCCCGGUGCGUAGCACGGGUUCAACAACUUGUUUUAGUUAAAAUAGUCCAGACUCCAGAAUGGUUUCAUGCAAAUCUAUAUACUAUAUAAUAAUGGAGCCUAACAAGUGCCACAUGGCGUGUUCUCAAUAACUUGAGAAUAGAACUUAAGCCCAACUUUAAGCCCAAUUAAAACCCAGUUGUAGACAUCAAGUGCCACAUGACACUUUUCUAGAGAUUUGCUUAAAUUUGGUGAGAGCCCAAAUUAAAAAAGAAAUCCACCUUCCAUGUCAACAGAUAUUUAUAGAAAUCUUAAAACCUUUUAGAAUUUAAUUCUAAAUCUCUUUUUCCUAUUAAAUUCUUCUUCUAUUUAAAAUUCUUAAUUCUUAUAUAAAAACCAUACUAAAUAUAAAAAUAUUAAUUAUAAAUCUCUACAAAUUUAGGUUAAGAAGGGCACUAAAAAAAACUCGAUUCAACAAAUCACUUAUAAGGUCAUUUAUAAAAUCUCUAAAAAUUUAGGUUGUGAAAGACAUUAAAAAAAGUUUGGUGAUUUUCUAUUUUAUUGAAUAAACACAAAUCCCGGUGCGUAGCACGGGUUCAACAACUUGUAGAGUACUAACACAGCGAUAGAAAAAUGUUGGGCCAUUUAAUCAAACUUGGCCCAUUAUAUUAACGGGCCUAAACUUUGCAAGAUGUGUUCAUGGUUUCAAGGAAUGAUAGCAAAACCAUCAUCUGACAUGACUAAUCUACACGCUUUGAAUCUUUGAUACAAGGUGCUGGAUGAAUCGGUUGUUUUCAUACCAACUGUCCGAGUGAUCUGCCCAGCACCUGGGUGUAAAAGGUGAACAAUAGUCAGAGAGUGAUAUGCCUAUUAUGUGGAUGUCACUCCGAUGUUUUUAUUGCAGUUCUUUUGGUUCUGAUGUGAUGACAAAACCAAGCUAGCUGCUAGCUUGGUAAGAGCAGAGAUUUGUUCUCUCCAAACUCAAGUCUCCAUUCUCAAACAUAAAAGGACACGGUCAAGACUGAAGAAUUUGAAACACUUAAAUCCAUGCCAUGUCUCAGUUCUAGUUCAGAUUUUCGCUUACAAGUUCAAAACUUUACAUUCAUGCCAUGUCCAAACUCAGUUUCACCAGCAAGUGGUUGUUCAGAAUCACGAGUACAGUAAAUGUCAAAGUUCAUUA
This 37983-nucleotide long non-coding RNA is filed under the name Aquilegia coerulea. RNAcentral describes it as "long non-coding RNA (ACOE_LNC001473)". Lineage: Eukaryota; Viridiplantae; Streptophyta; Magnoliopsida; Ranunculales; Ranunculaceae. The record is from RNAcentral.